This 1914-nucleotide ribosomal RNA is filed under the name human gut metagenome. Its description in RNAcentral is "bacterial LSU rRNA". It matches the Rfam family "Bacterial large subunit ribosomal RNA", at positions 523 to 2463 of the family's 2925-position model. The record is from RNAcentral.
ACCCCGGGAGGGGAGUGAAAGAGAACCUGAAACCGCAUGCCCACAAGAAGUCAGAGCCCGUCAAAGGGUGAUGGCGUGCCUUUUGUAGAAUGAGCCGGCGAGUCACGAUCAGCAGGCGAGGUUAAGCAGGAUAUGCGGAGCCGCAGCGAAAGCGAGUCUUAAGAGGGCGAAAUAGUCUGAGGUCGUGGACCCGAAACCGGGUGAUCUAGCCAUGAGCAGGUUGAAGUCGGGGUAAGACCCGAUGGAGGACCGAACCGACCCCCGUUGAAACGUUGGCGGAUGACUUGUGGCUAGGGGUGAAAUUCCAAUCGAACCCGGAGAUAGCUGGUUCUCCCCGAAAUAGCUUUAGGGCUAGCGUCGCAGCGAGAGAGCCGUGAAGGUAGAGCACUGAAUAUGCGAUGGCCGCAUCCCGCGGUACUGAGCAUAAUCAAACUCCGAAUGUCACGGUGUCAUCUGCGGCAGUCAGACGGCGAGUGAUAAGGUCCGUCGUCAAGAGGGAAACAGCCCAGACCAUCAGCUAAGGUCCCAAAGUGCAUGCUAAGUGGAAAAGGAAGUGGAGACGUGCAGACAACUAGGAGGUUGGCUCAGAAGCAGCCAUCCUUCAAAGAGUGCGUAACAGCUCACUAGUCGAAUGACUCUGCGCCGAUAAUUUACCGGGGCUAAGCAUGACACCGAAGCUAUGGACAGGAAUGUGGUAGGGGAGCAUUGCAUGCAGCGGAGAAGCAUGACCGAAAGGGCAUGUGGAGCGCAUGGAAGAGAGAAUGCCGGCGUGAGUAGCGGCACGUGGGUGAGAAUCCCACGCACCGAUGGCCCAAGGUCUCCAGAGGAAGGCUCGUCCUCUCUGGGAUAGUCGGGACCUAAGGCGAGGCCGAAAGGCGUAGCCGAUGGACGACGGGUGGAUAUUCCCGUACCCGAUGUGUGGCGAUGGAGUGACGGAGAAGGCUCAGGCAACCAGCUGGUGGAAUAGCUGGGGCAAGCGAGAUACCUGCGCACCAGGGAAAUCCGGUGCGCAUAAGGGGAAGGCGCGAUGCAUACGGAAAGCUUCGGCAAGUACGGAAAAGCUGAGAGCAGGCUUCCAGGAAAAGCUUCUAGCACAACACACAUCGGCCCGUACCGAAAAUGGACACACAUGGGCAAGGAGAGAAUCCUGAGGUGAGCGAGAGAACUAUAGCUAAGGAACUCUGCAAAAUGACCCCGUAACUUAGGGAGAAGGGGUGCUCCAGAAAUGGAGCCGCAGUAAAACGGCCCAAGCGACUGUUUACCAAAAACACAGCUCUCUGCGAAGGCGCAAGCCGAAGUAUAGGGGGUGACGCCUGCCCGGUGCUGGAAGGUCAAGGGGAGCUGUCAGCGCAAGCGAAGCAGCGAGCCGAAGCCCCAGUAAACGGCGGCCGUAACUAUAACGGUCCUAAGGUAGCGAAAUUCCUUGUCGGGCAAGUUCCGACCCGCACGAAAGGCGUAACGAUUUGGGCGCUGUCUCAGCUGUAGACUCGGUGAAGUCUUAGUACCUGUGAAGAUGCAGGUUGCCCGCGACUAGACGGAAAGACCCCAUGGAGCUUCACUGCAGGUUGACAUUGGGCUUGGAUGCAUGAUGUACAGGAUAGGUGGGAGGCUGUGAGCCGUGCGCGCCAGCGUACGGGGAGCCGCUGUUGGGAUACCACCCUUCAUGCAUCUAGGUCCUAACCGGAGGCAACGGGCCACGGGACAGUGUCAGUCGGGCAGUUUGACUGGGGCGGUCGCCUCCCAAAGAGUAACGGAGGCGCCCAAAGAUACCCUCAGCAUGGAUGGAAACCAUGCAUAGAGUGCAAAGGCAUAAGGGUGUCUGACUGCGAGACAUACAGGUCGGGCAGGGACGAAAGUCGGGCUUAGUGAUCCGGCGGAUCCGAAUGGAAGGGCCGUCGCUCAACGGAUAAAAGC